Molecule: long non-coding RNA, 2007 nt
Organism: Mangifera indica (mango)
Lineage: Eukaryota; Viridiplantae; Streptophyta; Magnoliopsida; Sapindales; Anacardiaceae
Exons: 2
Source: RefSeq, a predicted model, not a curated record
UUGAGUUCCGAGAAUAAGACAAAACAGGAAAGAAAAUAGUUUAUUUGAUUUUUUCCCCUUACUGAGUGUUUUCAUCACUCACUUCAUUUUUUUUCAUAAUUGCAGGUACAUGUGAUUAAAGUAGCUGCGAGAUAGGGUCAGGUCAGCGUAGGUAGAUCCGGUUGAAGCAGGCUUUGAUCGUACAACAUUUGAUGUUGUUGUUAAAAAACCAAAAUGGCAAAAAGCCAUGGAUGAAGAAAUUGAUGCCAUUGAAAAGAAUAACACUUGGGAGUUGACAGAACUUCCAAAGGCGCAGAAGGCAAUUGGUGUUAAGUGGAUUUACAAGACUAAGCUGAAAGGAAAUAGAGAAGUUGACAAAUACAAGGCACGUCUUAUUGAUAAAGGGUACAAGCAAGAAUAUAGUGUGGAAUUACACGAAAGUUUUUGCUCCAAUUGCAAGGCAAGGCACAAUCAUAUUGGUGAUUUCUUUGGCAUUGCAAAACUCAUGCCAAUUCUUCAAUUGGAUGUGAAAUCAACUUUCUUAUGAGACUUACAAGAGCAGGUAUUUAUUGACCAACCCCCUGGUUAUGUGAAAGUUGGUAGAGAACAUGAAGUAUAUAAAAUGAAAAAAGCUUUAUGUGGAGUAAAACAAGCAACUAGAGCUUGGUAUAGUCGUAUAAAUGCUUAUAUUUUGAAGAAAGGGUUUCAAAGGUGUCUUUUUAAGCACUCUAUUUACAUAAAAAUUGAAGUUAGAGGUAAAAUGCUUAUAAUGUGCUUAUAUAUGGAUGAUUUAAUUUAUACUGGAAAUGAUUAUGACAUGCUGAAAAAGUUCAAACAGUCUAUAAUGCUUGAAUUUGACAUGAGUGAUCUUGGAGUGUUGCAUUAUUUUUUAGGUAUUGAGGUAGUGCAAUAUGUUGUUGAAACUUUUCUUUGUCAAAAGAAAUAUAUGGAAGAAGUGUUAGACAAGUUUGAAAUACAGAACUACAAUUUUGUUACGACUCUUAUUGACAGGAGCUUUAAGCUUGUGAAAUAUCCUGGAGGGAGGAAGGUUUAUAGCACACUUUACAAACAACUUGUAGGAAGUCUAAUGUAUUUAAUAGCAACUCGACCAGAUAUUAUGCAUGUUGUCAGUCUCAUCAGCAAGUUUAUGGAAUAUCCAAAGAAAUUGCAUUUGUUAGCAGCCAAGAGAAUCCUUGGAUAUUUGAAAGGUACUUCUAAUUUUGGGUUGUUUUUAUAAGAAAGAAGACAAAUCAGAUUUGCUUGGAUUCCUUGACAGUGAUUAUGCUGGAUAUAUGAAUAAUAAAAAAACACUUUUGGGUAUGUUUUUAUGAUAGGUUCGAGUGCUAUUACAUGGUCAUCAAAGAAACAGUGCAUUGUUACUUUAUCUACUACUAAAACUGAGUUUGUGGGUGCUACUUCAUGUGCAUGCCAAGCUAUUUGGUUGAGGAAAGUUCUUGAAAGGCUUCAAUUCAAGCAAUAGGGAGCUACUCAAGUUUAUUGUGACAACGAUUCAAUAAUCAAACUCUCAAAAAAUCUAAUUUUACAUAGGAGAAACAAACAUAUAGAUGUGAGAUAUCAUUUCUUAUGUGAUCUUAUGGAAGGUGGAACAAUUGAUCUUGUUUACUAUAGGAGCAAAAAUCAAGUUGUUGAUAUACUAACAAAGCCCCUCAAGUUGGAAAAUUUGUGAAACUUCAAAGGCUCCUUGGUUUGUACAACUUGGAGAAUCCAAUUUGAGAGAGGGAUUGCUAUUUUAUGUUUUCUCUCAAACUGAAUGUGAUAGCUUUCAAUUUAAGGGAGAGAAUGAUUGUGUUUACUUAUUUUGUUGAAUGAGUCAAAAUUAAUCCGUUAGUGGUUUUCUCUUUUCAUGCAACUAUUGAUUUUGCUAAUAGUAGUUUGAUAAUAGUUUCCUAAUCUUCAACAACUAUUGAUAUUGUUAGUUAUUUGUCUGAUGGGUCUUACUUUGUAUGGCUAUAUAUGCAAUAAUAUGAAAGGAAUAAAUAAUAGAGUUUCAUUCUUCUUUGUUCUCUA